GGAUAACGUACAUUUAAAUCACUAUAUUUUAUGUGAAAUUAGGAUAUAAAACACACUUAUAACUGUUGAAAAUGUCUAAUGUCUAACCUAAACAAGAAUAUUGUGCGAAAGUUAUAACUGUUUUUAUAUGUUAAAUCUAUUGUGUACAUGUAUGUAUUAAAAUGGAAUAUAUUCAUGUAUAGUGAUUAAACAGUACUUCAUUAAAAACAUCUCGAUGAAACAAUUGUGAAUUACACAGAUUGUAAAAUUUAUUUGGGUACCGUAUUGGAUUAACCAGUGCCGUGCGCCGAGAGACGAAUUGUUUUUUCAUAAUCGUGUGUUGCAAAACAUAUGUCCUUGUACUGCAUAUCUAUAAUUACGACAUUCUCUGAUUGACAGGAAGUCGACGGGAAGUGGACGACUGGUUUUUGGUAUUAAUUAUGAUCAAUAAUUAAUGACUUUCUAUUUGAAUGCUUGCUUUUGAAUGUCCUUAAUUAAACAGAUGGAUAACAGGAUUACAAAUUAUCAAUACAUUGUUAUGUGAAAGUGAUAAAUAAUAUUACCGAGGACAUUAGUAUCGAUUUUGAUCUCUUUUUGUUUAAUAACCUCGGGCCGUUUGUACAAUAGAUACAUUUGUUAAACUUUUAUACUAUGAAUUCAUUGGACUUUUUUUUAUUUUGAUAUAAUCACAAGAUAACCAUGUGUUUCGAGUUCCUGAAAAUAUCAUCCACGCAGAGUGCUAGGAAUUCGAGCCAAAAUCCAAAGCGGACAAAAAUGCAAGCAGUUAAAGGAUUUUUUGCUUCAAGUAAGUACUAUAUAUGUAAAUUAAUGAUGCAAUAUGGAAAUAUUAAUACUCUGACAGCUUAAAAUCAUUUGUGCAAAAGCUGAUUUAUGUAUUACAUAAUACAUAACUUACAUAUGCACGUACGUUUUGUUAUAAUGAUAAUAAUAUUUGUUUAUAUUUAACAAUAAUUGUUAUAGUUGUAUGCUUUAUGAAAACGAGGAAUGCUUAACACUUAUCAUAAGUACUAUUUUCAAGUUCUUUUUCCUUAUUUUCCUGUUUCUCUAAAAACAAUAUGUGUAUGGUAUGGUAUUCAAAUUUCAUAAAUCAUCAACCAUUCCAUUCAUUACUGAAAGUCCAUGAUUCUAGGUUUACACAAUAUACCUUAUAAACCAAUACUACAGAAAAACAGACCUACAAAAUAAGAAUACAGAUAUAUACACAAAAUAGAGAAUACAGAAUAAUAGGAUUCUUUUUAAACAUUUAUAAUAGAGUGAACUGGGGAGGGGUAUAGGAAUUGUGAUAAAUAACAUAAAAAUUAAAGAAUACAGAGAUGAAUGACCCCCGUUUCUGAAUGUUAAUACAUUUAUGCCGACAAGAUAUUAAACAUAUCAUUAUUCAGUACGAGAGCAGAGUAACAAUUUAUAUCUUAUAGAUUGAUUAUGACUAUACUGAUUGGUCGACCGGGCUAAAAGACGUCCAACUAGAAAUAUAUGUGCUUUAAAUUUGAAAGUUUAAAUAUUGUUUUUCGUAUAUUACUGUACGAUGGUUCUGUAUCCAAAGAGUACUUAAAUGAUAUAAUUCAUGUAGUAUGUCCCAGGCAGUGGCGGAUCCAGAACUUUUCCUAAGGGGGGCCCGCUCCAGUGAUGCUUCAGUGAUUCCCUAUAUAAUCAACCAAAUUUUUCCCACGAAAGGGGGGGGGGCGCCCCCCAGACCCCCCCCCCCCGUGGAUCCGCCUAUGCCAGGGUAUCAACAAUAUCGAGUUCGUGUGCAGAUCGAAGCCCAUUAGUUCUGCUAUUCGGUACUUGAACAUUUUACACAGAUUUUACCUUGUUGGUGCAUUGCUUGACCUGAUCAAGCGGAGUGUAAACAGUCAGUGCAGACCAUUGAGGAAAAGUUUUUUUAAGGUCGUACGGUAACCUAUAUUCACUUACAUCCAUUUCGUUUCGAAUAAGGCAGAAAGUAGUUUUAUUGGCAAUCAUACAAUAUCCUUAUUUUAUUCCAUAACGAUCUAUGUGUCUAAUAUUUAACAUCCUGAAUGUGCAUGUAACAUUUGCCACUGUACGAUAGAGACCCUUGAAAUAAAUAACAGAAGUAAACGUUACAAACACGUUUUGCAGUAUACAAUGUAUAAAUAUACCACUAAAGCUGUAACUUAUGAACAAUUAACACAUUUUCUAUAGUCGGUUCUAAAAGGAUUAAAUUAUAUCUAUUAAUUAAUUUUUGAAUAAGUUCGUAUCUGCCACUCUUUCAAUUAUUGCCUUUUUUUACUUCAAAAUUGAGAAUGAAAAUAGGGAAUGUGUCGAAAAGACAACAAUCCGACCACCUAAUAGACAACAACAGAAGGUCACCAAUAGGUCUUCAAUGCAGCGAGAAUUUUUUAUUACUAUGCACAUUUUUCUUGUUUUCUGUCUUGAUUGAUUAAAUGAUCUAACAUCAAUGUAUCGUAUCUACAUGUACCUAAAAAUCAAAACUACAAUUUUGGCUUAUUUCACGGACCCUGCAAAAACCGAUGCAGUGUACGUGCAAAAGCAUCUUAGUGUUAUCCAUUCUAAGCAGAAGUCAAAUGUACUAUGAAUAAUUAUACGAUUUCUUUAAUCCCUUUAUGUCAUAUUCUCAUUUUAUGCAAAAAGUAUUUUGUAUAUAUACAAUAUAGAUGAAUCAAUAUUACAACAAUAAACGAGAUCACGUGACCUUCCAGAUGUUACCCCCUUACAUGGGAUUUUAUCAAUAUUCAAUAAAAUAAACGGGGAAUUGAUGUCAAUUUUGAUACAAGUGUCAUCUUCAUAUGCAUUAUAUUCUUUGAAUUAUUAUCAACAAAUUUAGCAUUGGACUAAUAUUUUAAAGCUUAUCGCAUGCGCAUGUUUGGAUAAUUCAGUGCCAAAUUGAUGUGUCCUUAAAAUUCGGCUAUAACAGAAAUUGCUCUAAUCCUAACUGUAUGCAGUGAACUCUCGUUGCACUUAAUCACAUUACCAAUAAUUCCCGUGACUUGAUUGACAUCUGGAGAAAACAAUAAGGACCAAGUUUUAUUUUUUACAGUAAAAUCCGGAUUUGUCAGCAAAGGAAAAACCAUGGGUAUAAUCCUAGGAAUAUUUAAUCCUGAAUUAUCAGACUUCCAGAAGAAGAAAUUGAAGCAUGAAUUCCACGUCUUCUUUGGUAUG
RNAcentral lists this long non-coding RNA (3141 nucleotides) under Mytilus galloprovincialis (Mediterranean mussel). Lineage: Eukaryota; Metazoa; Mollusca; Bivalvia; Mytilida; Mytilidae. The record is from RNAcentral.